CGGCGAACGGGUGAGUAACACGUGGGCAACCUGCCUCAAGGACUGGGAUAACUCCGGGAAACCGGGGCUAAUACCGGACGAUGUCGUCUCGUGCAAGCGAGCCGACCAAAGGUAGCUUCGGCCUCCGCCUUGAGAUGGGCCCGCGUCCUAUCAGCUUGUUGGUGAGGUAAUGGCUCACCAAGGCUACGACGGGUAGCUGGUCUGAGAGGAUGAUCAGCCACACUGGGACUGAGAUACGGCCCAGAACUCCUACGGGAGGCAGCAGUGGGGAAUCUUGCGCAAUGGGCGAAAGCCUGACGCAGCACCGCCGCGUGAGCGAAGAAGGCCUUCGGGUUGUAAAGCUCUGUCAGGGGGAAAGAAGGCACCUGGGUUAAUAGCCCAAGGGCUGACGGUACCCCCAAAGGAAGCCACGGCUAACUACGUGCCAGCAGCCGCGGUAAUACGUAGGUGGCAAGCGUUGUCCGGAAUCAUUGGGCGUAAAGAGCGCGUAGGUGGCUUGUCAGGUCUGAUGUGAAAUUUCGGGGCUCAACCCCGAACCUGCAUCGGAAACCGGCUUGCUAGAGUCUGGGAGAGGAGAGUGGAAUUCCUGGUGUAGCGGUGAAAUGCGUAGAUAUCAGGAGGAACGCCGGUAGCGUAGGCGGCUCUCUGGAACAGUACUGACGCUGAGGCGCGAAAGCUAGGGGAGCGAACAGGAUUAGAUACCCUGGUAGUCCUAGCCGUAAACG
RNAcentral lists this ribosomal RNA (725 nucleotides) under uncultured bacterium. Its description in RNAcentral is "bacterial SSU rRNA". It matches the Rfam family "Bacterial small subunit ribosomal RNA", at positions 96 to 808 of the family's 1533-position model. The record is from RNAcentral.